CAGAAAGUCGAUGACGAUACCAAAAAAAAUCAGGACUAUAAAAGUUUCCUAGCAACAUAGAAAGUGGCUCCUUGCAUCCCAGCUCACCAAAGAGGUCAUAACUGAAAGUACCACAUGUUCUGAAUUCAGCAAAAUCACUUUACCUUAUUCACUGCUACCCACACAAACAAAGAGAUAACAGAACUAAGGCAACUGUGCUAACUACAGACACAAAUACAAGCUGCUAUUUAUAGCUACGGAUGGCACUGCAGAGGUAGAAAGGAUAUGCUUUGGUCAAAUUGCUCAGCGCAUUAUUGGCAAAUCUGUUGAUCUUGUCAUAAGAACCAUAAGGCGCGAUGAAGAUUUCCCUCCAGACAUAGCAGGAAUAGCAUCGCAGAAAUACACUUUUGCGAUAACUAUGACAAACCAAAGCUAUUACACCCGCAACAAGUCAUACAUGGUCAAUUCCAUCAUCGCCUCAUAUGGCAGACAACGAGCAAUUCCUCAAGUUGGAGCCAGCUCAUCCAAUCGUCAGUCAGCCUAUCGUAGAGGUUCUGCUGCAUCCACAUCCACAGAGAAUGCACUGAGUUAUACGCAGACAGACGCAACGUUAUCACUUCAGACACCUCCAUCCAGUCCAGCCAUCUUUCGGACCACAGACAAGGAUGCGCCUUCCCCGCACCUGACAGACACACCAGAAAACAAUUCAGCUAGAAAAAGACUUUAUCUUACGAUACUGCUGAAGAUGGACAGGAAUCUGAUCAGGAACAAAAAAAAGGAAGCUUGAUAAACAGGAGAUUACUGGUGGAUCAGCAAAGCAUCUGAUCCAGCUUCUGAAAGAUCUUCAUCUGAGAAUGGAAAGAAAACUCAACAGAAAGGUGCAGAAUGCAAGGCUUCUCGCUUUCACAGGAACAAAAAAAAAAAGGUCAGC
Setaria italica (foxtail millet) is the source of this 910-nucleotide long non-coding RNA. RefSeq lists it as uncharacterized. Lineage: Eukaryota; Viridiplantae; Streptophyta; Magnoliopsida; Poales; Poaceae. The transcript is spliced from 6 exons. The record is from RefSeq and is a predicted model, not a curated record.